GUUGAACGCUGGCGGCAUACUUUACACAUGCAAGUCGAACGGCAGCGCGGGCUUCGGCCUGGCGGCGAGUGGCGAACGGGUGAGUAAUAUAUCGGAACGUACCCAAGAGUGGGGGAUAACGUAGCGAAAGUUACGCUAAUACCGCAUACGAUCUAAGGAUGAAAGCAGGGGAUCGCAAGACCUUGUGCUCCUGGAGCGGCCGAUAUCUGAUUAGCUAGUUGGUGAGGUAAAGGCUCACCAAGGCAACGAUCAGUAGCUGGUCUGAGAGGACGACCAGCCACACUGGAACUGAGACACGGUCCAGACUCCUACGGGAGGCAGCAGUGGGGAAUUUUGGACAAUGGGGGGCAACCCUGAUCCAGCAAUGCCGCGUGAGUGAAGAAGGCCUCGGUUGUAAGCUCUUUGUCUAGGGAAGGAAAAGGACGUAGUGGCUAAUAUCCAUAGCUGCUGACGGUACCUGAGAAUAAGACACCGGCUAACUACGUGCCAGCAGCCGCGG
RNAcentral lists this ribosomal RNA (499 nucleotides) under uncultured bacterium. RNAcentral describes it as "bacterial SSU rRNA". It matches the Rfam family "Bacterial small subunit ribosomal RNA", at positions 28 to 520 of the family's 1533-position model. The record is from RNAcentral.